GGGAAAUCAUUUUCAGAGUUAAUGACACUAAACAGUACCAGACACCCUAUUUGCUUCAGAACAGUUCUAUAUGCACACAAAGACAAACAAUGUUUUAGGGAGUUCGAAUAUUAAGAGGUGACAAGCAGCAAUGCAGGACACAGCCUUAUGUUCCAGCUAAGUCUAAAGACCACUCAUAUAACGCAUUCAAUAUGAUCAGGGUUCAAAAGAAAUAUAACCAAAUCAAUAAAUUGGCUCAAUCAACAUCACCACAAGCAUAAAUUUCUAACUUAAGUCAUCAUCACUAAUUUUCAUUAAGUUGGCUUUCACAUUGAGCCGGAACGAACAAUCAAUAGACACUUUCUAAAGACUGUCUAUAAGCAUCAAAGCGAACUGGCAUAAAGUGUAUUGAUCCUACAAACUUAGCACGUAAUGAUUUGACAAGAUUGUGCACAGCAGAAGGGAUUUCGAUAGCCAACCACAGUCUGAAUAUCAUGGAAUAUAAGAAUACAAUUAAGCAUAGACUCCAAUGGAGCAUUGAAA
Molecule: long non-coding RNA, 522 nt
Organism: Arabidopsis thaliana (thale cress)
Lineage: Eukaryota; Viridiplantae; Streptophyta; Magnoliopsida; Brassicales; Brassicaceae
Product: other RNA
Exons: 1
Source: RefSeq